Molecule: long non-coding RNA, 7952 nt
Organism: Gallus gallus (chicken)
Lineage: Eukaryota; Metazoa; Chordata; Aves; Galliformes; Phasianidae
Source: Ensembl
CCCGCGGAGACCGCCGGGCGGCCGCGGUGCCCCCGCGCUCCCCUCGGGCGGACGCGCUCCCGGUAGCGGUUCCCCGGUGGAGGUUCGGGGCCGGGGAGGAGCGUUUGGGCUUCUGUUGUGGCGCCCUUUCUCUGCGUGGCCGUAAGUGCUUCCAGAUGGGGAUUCGGCCACCAGACGUAACAAUAUUUCCAUAUUUGGUAUAGCAGUAGCCCGCAUUUUUCACAUUUUUCUGCUCUGUUAUCCAACCGCAACGCAUUCUUGACAGCUUCAGAUGCUGUUAAAUAUAGCCCUCGCUGCCGUUCCCAGGGCAGGAAAUUCUCUGGAAUUCCUGCUUUUCACGCAAUCUGUCCAUCAUGAUUUAGGAGCGCAGCGCCGGAGCAGCCAACCGGCGUUACCCCGCCGCGGGUACUGCGAAAAGCGGAGCUCCGUCCGCGCUCCAGCGGCGUGACCGCGAGUCCCCGUCGCGGGGAUUCCUUACGAGCGAGAGCCGUCCCUGACACCGGUUUGGGGUGGGCGACGGGGGAGGUUUUUUUCUUCUUUUUCGGUUGCCUUCGAGGAUGGAGGUGGAGGCGCGCAGGAGAGCCCCGCGCGGCGGAGGGGUGGGGAGGGCGGACUGCGGGCACUGCGGCUCCGCCGGCGGCGCGGCCCCGCGGGACGGACGCGGCUCCGGGCUGCCGUGCGCUGGGGGACGGCGUCACGACGGCGGACGGCACGCGCGCGGCUUGGUGGAACACCCCGCGGGUGCUUUUUGUUCGAGGUGACUCUACAGGGCAGCUUUGUGAUCAGAUGGAACAGCGUUGUCGUUCAGUGCGUUUUGGUUAAUGAAAACUUGGAAAAGGUUGAAGCGAGAAGAGCUGCUGCAUCAGAGCGUGGUUAAAUUGGACCGUUUUGCUUUUCAGGGAUUUAUGCAAACACUUGUCUAUUUAAUGACAUCUUAUUUAAGGACGUGCAUCAAGCAUUCUGCUUUGAUCUGUGGCUUUCACAACAUUCAGCAAAUGCCACAGGGAAGCCAAUGAAUGGCGCUUUUCUCAGUUGGUUUCGUGUCUUACCACACAUCCACACAGCUCUGAUGGGAAACUGUAAACGAACCUGCAUUUGCUCAAAAAAAAAAGGUCACUUGGAAAGCUUUGAAGCGCCUUUUGACAAACCUGUCCUGAAUCUCAAGCAGCUGACAACGUUUGAGAUGGGCUGAGAGUCUCUGCGUUCGGGUUGGACCGUGAACCUUUCAUACACUUCCAUUGCACGCAGUUCCCCGUCACAAACUGUGACCUGGAGUUUACAUCCCAGGCUGUGACUGUGUCUGCAGGUGUACAUCAGGACACAGGAAAAGGCUGGGAGCAUCGUUUAUGGGUUUUGUUCAGCGUAACAUCAAGUUUCAGGCCUCUGCUGUCCUAAGGGAACUGGGAAAUAUUCCCAGCUUUAUGUAAUGAAGAGCAUCUUACUGUCUCCCAGCUUGUGUGCCGUAGGUUGGUAAGGUGAGGUCGGCUGGGAGCUUGGUUAAGCAGGAGUUUGGAACAGUUGGUUAAUGCGCCAGAUCGUGCAGAUUUACCAGGUGUAUAUACUGUCAUUUCCACAGGCCUUUAUUUCUCCACGGAAAGAAGUUUCAGGAGAAACGAAUCAAGAAGAAACCCAGAUGAAAAACAUAGUUUAUCACCCAAGGUCAUCAUUCCACAGCCGUGUGCGGGGACACUGGAGCAGUGCGGGCGCUGCAUGGGACAGACAGCCCUCCAAAGCACUGGUGUGCCCGGAGGUAGAGAACAUCAGGACUUUACAGUCACAUGAAUUCUGGGAAGGUUCUUAGCAAAACCAGCACCCAGCCCUUGCUUUCCUACUGUCUCUUAUGUCCUCUUAUCCAUUCUCUCUUUCCUUUGCCCGUCCUUUACUGAGCAUUUCUUCCAUCUCUCAUUCUCUUUCUUCUCCUUUUCCCUGUUCCAGGCUUUUUCCCAACAACCUUUCCUCUCCUAAUGUUUACCUACCUUCGCUUGGGCCUCUCCUGCAGCUCCUGCCAGGCCGCCGGUUCCUGCUGCACUAAAUCAGUUCUUCCAGAGUCAAUGGCUCCUCUCAGUGACUCACAGGAGGUGCAAAUCCAGCGGGGCAAAUUAAGCAUAGCGACAUAGCAGCAGAAUAGCCAGAAGGCUUCAGCAGCUCAAAUCCAAGUGGGAUCAGGCUUUUUUUUUUUCCCCCUCGCUUUGAUUUGCUCAGUUUAUGCUGAAUACUUUGAGUAUGCUAUUUCCUAUUUGUUUUCUUCCUUUUCCCCACUGCCCUCCCUUUAGCUGUGCUCACGCCUGUCAGUUUUUGUCUAGUAUGUGCUUUGCCCGUGGUUUCUCUUAUUUGUGGGUUUGUGCUUCACAGCAUCUGUGUACCGAGAGACACUUUGCUCUGUAGGCACACUGAUUUUACCUGUGGCUGCUGUCAGGGAGUUGUGAGGGUUCCUCUUCUGUGACUGUGGAAAGGGAACUUGUGAGGCUGCUGACCCUGCAGGGAACCCAGACAAGUAAAAUCUGCAAUAUUAUUCAGUUGUUCUCAUUGCUUCUUCAAGAACCAUCCCUGCAGAUGGUCACUGGCAGUAUGUGCCUCGUGGCUUCUCACCCAGGGCUGGAUGCAGAAAGGAAAGUAGUUAACAUCUUCUAUUUAGCUCCUCCAGCUUGUUCACAGAGCCCAACACUCUUUCUUGCUGCCGCUCAGGGAGAUGGCAUUCAAUUUACUUUAAUGCUACAGUAGCGGCUCCUGUAGCACUGGGAAGGCAUUCAGUUUUCCUCAGCAAGGCAGGUGGAUUACUAAGGUACCUUAACCUGCUCUCACGUGCAUGUCCUUUGACACCAGGAUAUGCUCAGAAGACAGUAUUUGCAGCGGGCACUUCCCUGUAGCUGAAGUUUUCAAUGAAAAGACUGCUGCAGGCUUUGGCCCGAGCUCUCUUUGCCGUGUAAAUAAGUAAUGAAAGUCAGGUGGUCCUGGCCAGCACCUGCAUGCACACGGACCUCCAAAUCAUGUCUGUCUUCUUUAUGCGGUGAUUCUACUUGAAAUAUAAGUUGAAAUCUCUCUUCACGUGCCUUACUAAAAUUCUUUUCGCAGCUGUGUGUUGUAUUGCAGAAGGAAGCUGAGGCAUCAGGACUGCACACAGCUUCUUUCCCAGCACCAGCUAAGGAGAAAGUCUUGGACGUGGAUCCCAUAUGACCUCAGGAGAAACUUUUCCAUAGCUUCCAGCUUUGGCCCUCAGUGUGCAGGAUUUCCCUGUGGAGCAGUACUGCUUGUAAACUGACAUCUUUAUUAAGAUGAAAUGAGCAAGCUCAAAGGAAAAUUGGUCGUGAUCACAAAGGAUUGCUGGAGCAGGGUUAGCCUGAUUGCAAUCAAUAGAACAGUGCCUGAGCAAUUUUUGAUCAAAGAACACCUGUGGGCUGUGGUCCGUAAUGGUCUUCAGCUGUUGCCUGCCUCAGUCCACCUCAUAGCUACACCUUAGAGACAACUGCCUUCUGCCUCUAUCUGUGUUGUGGAGCUCUGCAGCCCAGAAUGUCUGCUCUUCAGCACGUUCAGGUUUGUUUUUACAUUUCUACAUUUAAAAUGUGGCAAAUUACUCUUUCCCAAUGAGUAUUGUGUUUCAUUAUAGCUAUCAUCGAAACUCCAUUCCCUUAAGGUCAGGUGAUAUCAAUACUAGCAGAACCCUCUGCCUUCGUUCUGGUGCUUUCACUUCCUCUUCUCUGCUAAUGACCUAGGGACAUGUUUUGUUGUCACUGACAGGUGGGCAUUCAGGGGGCUCACCUGGAUUUUGCUUUUAAGAACAGAGUUUUGCAGGCAUGCUUGCUUGUUUGUUUGUUUAAAAUGCAGUUCUUUCUUCUUUGAGUACAAAUAGAAGGAAGGGCCUGAGCUUUCAAGAUACCAAAGACGUUUUGCCACGCAGUGAAUUCUGUUGAUUGUCAGGUUACCUGCUGAAAACGUCAUGGCAUCAAUCUCAGAACAGUGCAGAAUGCCCUGAGGUGCCUGUUGGCUUUGUCUGCUGUUGUUACUCAUCCUCUGCUACACACACAAGCUUAUUAAAACACAGUGAGACUGUGAUUGUGUUUGCUGUCUUCUUGUUUAUUUCCCUUCCCUUCUAUCUGGGCUCUUACCCUUCACCUACCAGCUUUCAGUGGCAGCUAGUUAUGUUCUUUUCCUCUGUCGUGCGUGUUUAUUUUAUGACACGCAUGAGCUAACCGAUAGAAGGAAGCCAGGCCAGGACUGCCCUGCUGGAGAUCAGCUUUUUGCACAGUUCUCUGGCACGUGCCCCUCACUUCUGGUCAGCGAUAGCGUACUGAAAAAGUCAAUAGCAGACAAAUAAGCAGACACGAUGUCAUCCUUGCAGAUAGGGAGGACUUAGAGGCAGCCAGCAGAUCCUGUAUGUGUUUUGAGAAUGUUUCUGGAGACAGAGCUACGAUCCAAGAAUGUGCAAAUAGCUGCCCAUCCCAGUCUUACGUGCCUGCAAUUAAGGAGAAGUGCAAAACCAUCUCCAGCCUUGAGCAGCAUACCAAAUCUUAAAGGUGCGCCUUGCUCUAUUGAACCGGUUGGGGAAUUUUUCUUGAGGAGUGAAGAACGAACUACUUGAUUGGAAUCUCCUCCUCAGUUUAUCUCUGCCAGAGACUAAAAUAGAGCUGGUGGGUGAGACCUGGUAGGCUGUCCGGUGAAAGGUUGCGUGCAUUACUCCAGGUCCUUGUGGAGAUUCAGGACAGAGGAGCCCAUCAGUGCAUGCGGACCCACUGGGAGGGCAGAUCUCUUUGAGUCAGCCAGGAAGCACGUCGAGGUCUGCUGCCCGCUGUUUUCCCACAGACCAGUGUCCUCAGGAAGCACAAGGUUAGCAGGGCUAUCAGCACACUACUUUGGUGUGGAGACUUUUUUUACGAUUGUUAACAUUUCGUUUCCUGUUGUUGUACAGAAAUUAUGACUCUGAGUGUCAAUGUUGAGAUGAAAGCAGAAACCCUUUUGCAUGGGGCAAACACUAAAAGCUAGCUGUUAUGUUAUUCAUUUAAGAAUAUAUUUUUAAAAAAAUCGUGCUGACAGGCAGCUAUUUGCUUUGGGGGAUGUUUGUUCAUUGAUGUUUUUCAUAGAAUCAUAGAAUUGUUUGAGUUGGAAGGGACCCCUAAACAUCACCUUGCCCAGCUCGCCUGCAUUGUGCUGGGACGCCUACAGAUCAGUCAGGUGUUCAGAGCCCCACUCAGUCUUCCCUUGAAUGUCUCCAGGGAUGGGACAUCCACCUCCUCUCUGGGCAGCCUGUGCCAGUGCCUCACCACCAUUACUGAGAAGAAACUUUGUCCAAUCUAAAUCUCCCCUCUUUUCAUUUGAAACCAUUUCUCCUUGUUCUGUCACAACAGAUCCUGAUAAAGAAUCUGUGCCCUUCUUUCUUACAGUCCCCCUUUAGAUAGAGAAAGGCCUCUCUCGGGUCUCCCUGGAGCCUUCUCAGAGCUCACCAGCCCCAGCUCUCAGCCUGUCCUUUCAGGGAAGGUGUUCUAUCCCUUGGGUUGUUUCUGGGGCCCUCCUCUGUUCCCACUCUAACAGGUCUAUGUGUCUCCUGUACUCCUCUGCAUCAUUUAGUACUCAGCAGUCUACAUACUUAUCGCUGUCUUAUCUUGCUGUGUAACUGAGGUCUGAUUCUGAAAAUGCCCACAGACCCAAUUUUUAGUGAGAUUAUUUGGGGAAAAAUGGCAGACGACGCUGGUCUUUCAUGUGAGAAGUGUGUAAUAACUGAAUGAUGUUCAUCAACAGCUGCGAGAAGAGAGCCUCUGGUUGGAAGGAGUGGGCUUUCAGGAUGCACCCGUACCAUUUUUUUUCUUAACAGUGCCAUGUCAAAAUAAAAAUCAGUGAUUAAAAGCGUGCCUUACUUGUGCUGCUAAAAACACUUUUAGAUUGUACACACUGUAAACAGUAAAUAUUUAAUGUACACGUUUACUUUUCCUGGUUCAUGCCGAGCUCACAGGGCCUGACAGAGAAGCUAGACAGAUGUGUUUAUAGUGAGCUCCCCGGGCUGGCACAAUGCUGCAGUGUUUGGCUGCGAGCACCACAGGGAGAUGUUGUAAAAAAUAAAAAAUAAAAAAAUAAAAGCGUUCCAUUUACAUUGGGGGAAAAAAUCCUGAGAAUGUUUCUAUUAAUAUUAGCUGGUGUAAAACCCCAAAUUCUACAUUUCAGGCCUUGAAUAUUUCAAAAAUAGAGGAUGAGAUUGUGGUCGGUGAGGAUGUGGGGGUAAGAAGGUUUCCCUCGCUUACCUAGCUGGUGAGGGAGAUGGUCAGGAUGGAGUUCUGGCUGAAGGAGAACAGAGUUGGCAUUGAAAUGCUCCUGAUGGAGGGCUGCUGGGGGAUGAGGAAGAGGCGCUGUGGAGCGAUGCCCCUGUGCUGCUGGAGGCGGGUGUGCAUGCACUCGCACAGGAGAUGCCUUUGGUUUGCCACAGGGCAGGAGCUGUGACUCAGAACCUAACCCGAGAGUCAGAACGUUGCCAGGGGUUAUGCUCUCAAAGGAGAGAAGAACGGAUGCUGCAGGGGAAGCAAAAUGCAUCCAUUUGGUGGGAUGUGAGUUCCUAACACACGCACGAGUUGCUGGCCAGGACAGUAAGGAGAACAAUCCCAAUCCGAAAGGGUUUUGUAAAGCUUUUGUCUUGACUGGGGUCUUACCUGAGCAUGAGCUUCUGGUCUCAGUUAUGUUGACGUUAAAUCUGGUUUAUGUGAUCAAAGUUAGUGGCAUUAAUUAAUUGGCACAUGUUAAUUAAACAGCUGACGGGCAAGUUUCUGGAGAGCUCGGAAGAAAUGGAUGGCUGUGUUUCUCUGAAGUUAUCUUGGGCUACAAAGCCAGUUUGUUUUGAUAGCCUGGUCAAGCAGCUGGCCAGUUUUUAACUGUUGCCAAAGAAGAUUAAGGUGACUUUUAAAAGGGGUUGGGGUGCCUGGCUGGGGGCAGCUUGGUGCCUUCCCUCGCACCAGCUCUAACGAGGAGGUGAGGCUGAGCAAGCCCUUGUAAGAAGGAUAGGCAGCUUCGUGGUGGGCAGCAGGGGCAGGGAAUAGCCCAAGGCUGAGCAGAGCAAACCUGGCAAUUUGCUGCCACAUUUGAGCUUCAGAGCAGGAGAAGCAGCAACGGCAGGAGAGAGCAGGUGAUGCAUGGAGGGUGACACAGGUGGGGACUCCUGACUGUGAUAGCCUGAAGGAACUACAGCCAAGGAAGGAGCUGCUAGAUGCUUUUACAAUCCAGAACAGGAAAGAUCAGGGGUAGGAAGGCCCGGUGAAUGGCUAAUUGAAGUGGAUUGUGUUCAUCUGUGGCUGACCAGACCGUGCACCUGGAGAAGCCACAGACCAUGAUGGUGCACUGUGAGCAGGACAACGCUGGGUGCCAAGAGCAAGAAUCCUCUGCAGAGCCCUGGUGUUAUGGCUGCAGCACUGCGGGCUGCUGCACGUCCAGGAGAAGCGGUGGAAUAAUGCAGCUCUUUCUUUGCAGACUGAGUCUGAGGCCACAUUUCAGUAUGGUCCACUUGCACCUCUUUAUUGUGCGGUAGUUGUGAGCUCCAAUUCAAUAAAAACAGCAGUCCUAGACCCAUACUGAGAUCCAUUGAUUCCAGAGCAGCCCUGGCCUGAGGCACCCUGCUCCGCUGUGGCUGUUCCCCAGUGCCCCAUUCCAUUUUACAACCUCCCCUUUUGCUAUUAGCAUGGCACGCGGGUCUACAGGAAAACAAAGAAUCCGGAUCUGCAAGGGAUGGAGAACAGCACAUUAACCCCCUGUGCAACCCGGCAAGAACCUGUGACUCCAGAUUUGAUGGCAGGGUACCCGUGCCCGAGUACCACAAGUUUAGGAGCCUACGCAGCAGAUUAACAGUCAGCUCCUGGCAUAACAACAGUAGACUUAAAAAAUGAAUGGUCAGCCUCAGUCUGGAUGUCACCAUCAUUUUCAUGCUAAUGUGCUUUUUCCUCAGCCGGCCUCCUCUCUGAAUGUGGAGCACAGAAACAUCCAGG